This 73-nucleotide transfer RNA is filed under the name Felis catus (domestic cat). It matches the Rfam family "tRNA". Rfam says of the family: Transfer RNA (tRNA) molecules are approximately 80 nucleotides in length. Their secondary structure includes four short double-helical elements and three loops (D, anti-codon, and T loops). Lineage: Eukaryota; Metazoa; Chordata; Mammalia; Carnivora; Felidae. The record is from Rfam by way of RNAcentral.
GCCUGGAUGGCUCAGUCAGUAGAGCAUGCAACUCUUGAUCUCAGGGUUGUGAGUUCAAGCCCCACCUUGGGUA